Molecule: unclassified non-coding RNA, 479 nt
Filed under: uncultured Entrophospora
Lineage: Eukaryota; Fungi; Glomeromycota; Glomeromycetes; Entrophosporales; Entrophosporaceae
Description: SSU rRNA
Rfam family: Eukaryotic small subunit ribosomal RNA
Source: RNAcentral
AGCAGCCGCGGUAAUUCCAGCUCCAAUAGCGUAUAUUAAAGUUGUUGCAGUUAAAAAGCUCGUAGUUGAAUUUCGGGGUUAGCAGGUCGGUCGUGCCAUCGGUAUGAACUGGUCUCGCUGAUCCCUCCCUCUUGACGAACUGUGAUGCCAUUAAUUUGGUGUCGCAGGGAAUCAGGACUGUUACUUUGAAAAAUUAGAGUGUUUAAAGCAGGCUCACGCUUGAAUACAUUAGCAUGGAAUAAUGAAAUAGGACGUUUGAUCCUAUUUUGUUGGCUUCUAGGAUUGACGUAAUGAUUAAUAGGGAUAGUUGGGGGCAUUAGUAUUCAAUUGUCAGAGGUGAAAUUCUUGGAUUUAUUGAAGACUAACUACUGCGAAAGCAUUUGCCAAGGAUGUUUUCAUUAAUCAAGAACGAAAGUUAGGGGAUCGAAGACGAUCAGAUACCGUCGUAGUCUUAACCNUAAACUAUGCCGACUAGGGAU